RNAcentral lists this ribosomal RNA (367 nucleotides) under Foraminifera environmental sample. RNAcentral's name for it is "partial small subunit ribosomal RNA". The record is from RNAcentral. Lineage: Eukaryota; Foraminifera.
CUUCAUUUAAUUAAUAAAUAAUAAAUAUAUUAAUUAUAAUACGUUCACAUGUUUUAUAAAAAUAAAACCAGAACAGUAAUUAAAUAAUUAAAUAUAUUAUUAAAUAUUUUAUUAUAAUCUGAAACGCAAUUAAGCAGACAGAUCACUCCACGAACUAAGAACGGCCAUGCACCACCUAUCAUAUAAUCAUGAAAGGACUAUCAUUUUUAUAUAUAAUAUAAUAAUAAAAUUAUAUUAUAUUAUCGCCUGUCAAUCCUCAAUAUGUCCGGACCUGGUAAGAUUUCCCGCGUUGGGUCAAAUUAAGCCACAUGCUCCACGCGUUCUUGUGGUGCCCUUCCGUCAAUUCCUUCAAGUUUCACACGUGCGU